This 227-nucleotide long non-coding RNA is filed under the name Phoenix dactylifera (date palm). RNAcentral describes it as "long non-coding RNA (PDAC_LNC007069)". Lineage: Eukaryota; Viridiplantae; Streptophyta; Magnoliopsida; Arecales; Arecaceae. The record is from RNAcentral.
UUAUAAAUAUCAUUAUCUAUAAGUCUAAAGUCAAGCAUACCUAUUAACCAUACAUCACAAUGUUUCAUCCAUACCAUAUGUUAAGGUGAUAAUCAUCACCAAACACAUCAAAAUGUAAAUUAAAAAUCCCAACAUAUUUGAUUACAUUGUACUUUAAAAAUAUUAAAAACAUACAUAUCAAACUCCUAAAUAAACAGUCUACGAGGUCUUAAGGGUCGACGGCAUCA